CGCCACAUAUUCCACAUCUUUCUGCUGGUGGCGCGUGAACUGGUGGGGCCUCUGCCUGGUUCAUCUUGAGGUGCUGAACUUGCCUCAUCAAAUCUGCUACUUGCUUCUGAAGCUCAUUGUUGGGAGCUACUGCAUUGGCUUCAACCCUCCUUCCUCUGACUGAUUUCUGUUGAGAACUCGCUGCAAGUGUGUUGAAGAUCUCCUUGAGCUCAUCAGCUGUCUUCCGGGCAAUGUUGCCCCCUGCUG
RNAcentral lists this long non-coding RNA (246 nucleotides) under Salvia miltiorrhiza (redroot sage). RNAcentral's name for it is "long non-coding RNA (SMIL_LNC012762)". Lineage: Eukaryota; Viridiplantae; Streptophyta; Magnoliopsida; Lamiales; Lamiaceae. The record is from RNAcentral.